RNAcentral lists this long non-coding RNA (514 nucleotides) under Brassica napus (rape). RNAcentral's name for it is "long non-coding RNA (BNAP_LNC007400)". Lineage: Eukaryota; Viridiplantae; Streptophyta; Magnoliopsida; Brassicales; Brassicaceae. The record is from RNAcentral.
AACUUUUUCUACAGCCUCCUUUGCGGAUUAGGGUUAAAAUUGUUGAACUUUUUUUUUAAUCCCCAUUCACCUGUUUUAGAUUCUGCAAGAAAUAAACGAGAUUUCUUGUAUUUUAAUAAUUACAGUUGAAUGGUUUUAGUUUUAAAAAUGGGCAAAUCUCCAAAAUAGCACAUUUCUAUGUUUAUGUCACAAAAAUAGCUCUCAAAAACUAAAAUGACCAAAAUAGCAUUUUAUCUUUUGAAAAAUUUAAAUUUUUUUAUUUUUCAAAAUUUGAAAUCUUAUCCCCAAAACCCCAAUCCCCAAAUCUAAACCCUAAAACCUAAACUCUAAACCCUAAACUCUAAACCCUAAAUCCUAAACUCCACCCCUUAACUCUAAACCCUAAUGUCUAAAUUAAUUUACCAUUAGGGUAUAAGUGUAUAUUUAUCUCUUUUGAUAAAAUAUUAAGUGCUAUUUUGGUCAUUUUUAUUCUUAGAGGCUAUAUUUGUGACAAAAAUCUUUUUAGUGCUAUCCU